RNAcentral lists this ribosomal RNA (459 nucleotides) under uncultured bacterium. Its description in RNAcentral is "partial 16S ribosomal RNA". It matches the Rfam family "Bacterial small subunit ribosomal RNA", at positions 339 to 795 of the family's 1533-position model. The record is from RNAcentral.
CUACGGGCCGCACCAGUGAGGAAUAUUGGACAAUGGUCGAAAGACUGAUCCAGCCAUGCCGCGUGCAGGAUGACUGCCCUAUGGGUUGUAAACUGCUUUUAUACGGGAAGAAAAACACCUACGUGUAGGUGACUGACGGUACCGUAAGAAUAAGGACCGGCUAACUCCGUGCCAGCAGCCGCGGUAAUACGGAGGGUCCAAGCGUUAUCCGGAAUCAUUGGGUUUAAAGGGUCCGUAGGCGGGCUAUUAAGUCAGAGGUGAAAGUUUGCAGCUCAACUGUAAAAUUGCCUUUGAUACUGAUAGUCUUGAAUUGUAGUGAAGUGGUUAGAAUAUGUGGUGUAGCGGUGAAAUGCAUAGAUAUCACAUAGAAUACCGAUUGCGAAGGCAGAUCACUAACUAUAUAUUGACGCUGAGGGACGAAAGCGUGGGGAGCGAACGGGAUUAGAUACCCUUGUAGUC